GCUGGGCAUGGUGGCACACGCCUGUAAUCCCAGCCACUUGGGAGGCUGAGGCAGGAGAAUUGCUUGAACCCAGGAGGCAGUGGUUGCAGUGAGCUGAGAGCAUGCCACUGCACUCCAGCCUGGGUGACAGAGCAAGACUCUGUCUCAA
This 148-nucleotide non-coding RNA is filed under the name Nomascus leucogenys (northern white-cheeked gibbon). The record is from Rfam by way of RNAcentral. Lineage: Eukaryota; Metazoa; Chordata; Mammalia; Primates; Hylobatidae.